Molecule: long non-coding RNA, 3284 nt
Organism: Galeopterus variegatus (Sunda flying lemur)
Lineage: Eukaryota; Metazoa; Chordata; Mammalia; Dermoptera; Cynocephalidae
Exons: 5
Source: RefSeq, a predicted model, not a curated record
ACAGUGACAUGGAAGGACACAUUCUUGGGAAAAAUUAACAUAGACAAGAGACUCUUAGAGAUGACGCAAAACACAGCUUAGAGUCCAAUAGAAUCUUCUUGCCUCUCUACGUCCUUGAAACCAGAUCCUCACUCCACAGGGACACAUGGCUUUGUAGCCAGACCUGGGAUCGGCUCUCUCCACCCCAGGAGGAAUGGGGGGACCGGGCAGGGAGUGGGGUCCCACGUGCAUCUGCCACCAUCACUCCUUCUGGACCCUGGGUGACCACCCUGCCAGCUGGAUCUCAGACCUCUCCCUCUCUCUCUUCCUACCAGCGUCAAGUUUAUCAGUAAAAUCCAGUAUGUGCACAGCCUGGAAGAUCUGCAGCAGCUCAUUCCCAUGGAGCACGUUCAGAUCCCAGACUGCGUCCUACAGUACGAAGAGGAAAGACUCAAGGCCAGAAGAGAGAGCGUGAGGCCCCAGCCAGAGUUUGUCCUGCCCAGGUCAGAAGAGAAGCCAGAGGCGGCACCGGCAGAGCACAGGUCUUCUCUGGUCACAGAAGAUCAGGAAACGAGCAUGUCCUGAGGCGACGUGAAAAUAGAGAAGGUCAUGAAAGAAGAUUCCAGAUGCUGAGAAACCUCUGUCAGACGCCCUCUGGCCCCAGAACUCAUCCCAUGUCAUCCUAAGUCCCGAGAGCGCCAGUCUCUAUCCAUCUCUGAAACCCAGUGUCCUUUUUAGCUGCUUGAAAACAUUUUUUUUUUUAAACGAUGCAGUAUUAGCGCAACCUGGAAAAGGGCCCGGGUCCCAGGCCUGCACCCUUCCACACUCACGAACUCACGGCCGAGGAAAGCGAGAAGGGGAGGGCGUGGCCUCGGUGGCCUCGGUCCCAGCUCCCAGCCCCCCAGCCUAGACACACUUCUCCCCAGCCCAGCUGUCCGUGGCCAGUGCUGGCCACAAGUUCAAUACCCUUCUCUUGCUGGUUACCUUUCCCAGGGUGGAGCCACCGACACCCCCGGGCACUCUGGCUGGGUCUGGAUUCGUUCCUGUGCCUUUCCUUCCAGAACGUGGCCCCUGCAGCUCCGGACCUCCGGCUGGAAGCUCAGCCCCCGGCAGGGCCAAACUUCCCGCCUCCAACCUCACACCUGUGGUUGUCCAAAACUGACACCCAUGAUUCUCCAUCUGUCACCUCCCCUUCCUCUCUCAUAAGACCCACCUUCCUUGGGAGCAUCGAAGCCCAUAGUACAAGUGAGAUCAGCUGGUAACCAUCCUUGUCCUAGCAUUUUAAGACUACACCCCCUCCCCCCAGUCUAGAACUUUCUCAAGCCCCUUUAACUCAGAUGCCGCUCCACAGGGCAAUCCCAACCAAUACCUCCUAUCAAGGGAAUGAACUGUGCCCACCUCACCAAGCCCCCACUCCCAGCACCAGGCCGGGACCUGCCCGCCAGGCUCCCACCUAGAGCGGAGGCUGAGGAGCCAGCUCUGAAAUAGAGGGAUCUGGAAAAAAGAAUCAACGGGGCAUGGGACAAGCAAGUGUUUCGAAGGUCCUUUGGACUGGUCCCACCUACAUCCAAAGCUAGACCAAUGGGUCCUCAUUCACGAGGCACAUCUCCCGUGGGUGAGGGAGAGACUUUCCAAUGUGCUGCAGACACUGUCAAGUGGCCUCUAGAAGUAGUGAGCUCCCUGUCUCUGGAGGCAUUUAAGAAAAGGCUGGAUGGUGCUUGUAGAAAGUGGCCCCCAAGGUACCCUCUGAUUCUUAGUGUCUCAGUGGCUAUGAAUCUGAGCAAACGUUGAGCGGGCACCUUCUCCAGGCCCCUGUUCCCGCCUCUGCAGCUGGCGUCUUAGCAAGCGCUGUUGAGGUUUGACUGAGCAGCCUCACAAUUCAGGGUUCACAUGUCAGAUGCUGGCCACCUGGGACGACCAGGGGGUGCAUUUGGGAUUAUCCCAACGACAGAAGGGAGCCAGGGCAGUUAGUGCUGAGGGGCAGAGAUGUGCAACAAUUUGCCGUGUGGGACAGGGUCUCACGCAUUCCACCCCAAAUGCCAGCAGCUCCCACCCUGAGAAAGGAGUGGUUUCUGAGUGGGCUUGAGCCUGCAAACCCCACCGUGGAGCUACUGGGCUGUACUGGGGACAUCUUCUAUAUCGGCGUUGCCCUGGUGAUGUUGGCACAUUUGGAGGUCUGGUGGAGGUUUUUAAUUGUGUUUCCCAAACGUAAAGGUCAACAAUGGUGUCCCAGGGCCAGAUGUGUCGCCUGCGGCCUGAAGCGGCAGAGACUGGUGGAUGAGUCUCUCUUGGCUUCUCCAAACUUCCCCGCUGCCCAGGCCCACCUCCCCCUGGACCCACUCACGGCACCUCCUUUUACAAAAGGUGCUCUGGGAAAGUGCUCCUGGCUGUGGUGGCCAGCCCUUCCCAGAAGGCCCCAAGCUCCCACCCCAAUGAAUGGGGUCUCUGCUGAAGCCAAGACGACAGAAUCCAUUGGACGACUCUGAGCAGGGAGCCUCCGGCAGAUACCAGCGAAGCCCAGCCACCAUAGUUUGUCCCCCCGUGACCAAAGGCAUGUUCCUCCAGCAUGAAUCUGUCUCCCCCAUAGUCACAAGAACUCCUGGGCCUUGAUCGUCAUUGACAACUGGGCCCUCCUCCAAGUUGAAAAAGGAGCCAGGGAGAGGAACAGACUCAUACUCAAUCAGACAAUUAAUUGUCGAGUGCCUAUAGUGGCGACGGAGUGACCAGUAAGGCCCCCUCCCACCCUCAAGGAGCCUGCGGGCCGAAGAUCCUGGCCCCACAGGAAAUUCCAGUGGGGUCCACCUGUUACGCCACAGCCCACCCACCGCCCCUUCGGAUCACCAGCAGCCGUGGACGAUGGGCAAGCAGAGCCGAGGACCCCAACUCAGCCACAGUGGACCCUCCAAAAAAAAGAGAGGUCCCUGAUAAGGCAGGAGGCUGUGCCAGCAGGUGUGAGAAGUUUGAACAGCUCCGUCCGAGCAGGGCCACCGUUCCCAGGUGGGCUGCUCCACGCACUACUGAAAAGUUGGCUUUGCAAUGGAUGUGUAUCUGGGGGGACAGUUUUGGCCAAAAUGCAACAGACCCCAAGUCCUCGUCAUCAAGUUGUGUUGGAUUUCUCUCUCGUGACACAUGGUUGUGCCCUAGCCCCUCCCCCAAUGUCACAGUUCACAUGCUCAUCCUUCUGACGACAAGUUUUGAAAUUUUUAAAAACAGAAACAGCAUUAUGGUUACUGUUGGGGUGUUAAGACAUCAUCUCCAUGAGCUUUGGGGGGUUUUAUGUGAAAUAAACUAUAAGUUAAAGGGGA